AACAAACGCUGGCGGCGUGCCUAAUACAUGCAAGUCGAACGGGGAAAGCUUUCGGGUGAGUACUAGUGGCGCACGGGUGAGUAACGCGUGGAUAAUCUGCCCUCGAAUGGGGAAUAACUAGUCGAAAGAUUAGCUAAUACCGCAUAAGACCACGACUACUGAGGUAGUUGGGGUCAAAGGAGCAAUUCGUUUGAGGAUGAGUCCGCGUAAGAUUAGCUAGUUGGUGAGGUAAUGGCUCACCAAGGCGAUGAUCUUUAACUGGUCUGAGAGGAUGAUCAGUCACACUGGAACUGAGACACGGUCCAGACCCCUACGGGAGGCAGCAGUAGGGAAUAUUGGACAAUGGGGGCAACCCUGAUCCAGCGACGCCGCGUGAGCGAUGAAGGCCUUCGGGUCGUAAAUCUCUGUUGUAAGGGAAAAAGUUCUGAUUGUACCUUACGAGAAAGGAUCGGCUAACUUCGUGCCAGCAGCCGCCGUAA
Molecule: ribosomal RNA, 479 nt
Filed under: uncultured bacterium
Lineage: Bacteria
Description: partial 16S ribosomal RNA
Rfam family: Bacterial small subunit ribosomal RNA
Source: RNAcentral